This 589-nucleotide ribosomal RNA is filed under the name uncultured bacterium. RNAcentral describes it as "bacterial SSU rRNA". It matches the Rfam family "Bacterial small subunit ribosomal RNA", at positions 338 to 944 of the family's 1533-position model. The record is from RNAcentral.
CCUACGGAGGCAGCAGUGGGGAAUUUUCCGCAAUGGGCGAAAGCCUGACGGAGCAACGCCGCGUGAGGGAUGAAGGCCUCUGGGCUGUAAACCUCUUUUAUCAAGGAAGAAGAUCUGACGGUACUUGAUGAAUAAGCCACGGCUAAUUCCGUGCCAGCAGCCGCGGUAAUACGGGAGUGGCAAGCGUUAUCCGGAAUUAUUGGGCGUAAAGCGUCCGCAGGCGGUCUUGUAAGUCUGUCGUUAAAGCGUGGAGCUUAACUCCAUUUCGGCGGUGGAAACUACAAGACUAGAGUGUGGUAGGGGCAGAGGGAAUUCCCGGUGUAGCGGUGAAAUGCGUAGAUAUCGGGAAGAACACCAGUGGCGAAGGCGCUCUGCUGGGCCAUAACUGACGCUCAUGGACGAAAGCUAGGGGAGCGAAAGGGAUUAGAUACCCCUGUAGUCCUAGCCGUAAACGAUGAACACUAGGUGUCGGGGAAUCGACCCCCUCGGUGUCGUAGCUAACGCGUUAAGUGUUCCGCCUGGGGAGUACGCACGCAAGUGUGAAACUCAAANAGAUAGAGCUGAGACGNGCGAGCGACGACGAGGAGAG